Molecule: long non-coding RNA, 615 nt
Organism: Gossypium arboreum
Lineage: Eukaryota; Viridiplantae; Streptophyta; Magnoliopsida; Malvales; Malvaceae
Exons: 2
Source: RefSeq, a predicted model, not a curated record
AUCUUUAUGUUUUAUUACGCUCACACAUUUUCUUAUCUAUGCAUAUAAGUUGAUAUUUGGGGCGUAUAAAUAGAGACGUAGAUUGCCUUUGUUUAAGCAUUCUUAACUCUCCAAACACUUUUAUCCAAGAUUGUUCACUUUGAUUUAAAAAACAAAAAUCGAAUAUGGGUUCGGUUUGCAAGAGUUUUCUCAUGCUUGCUGUUUUAUCUGUGAUUGUUCUUUCCAUUUCUUCGGAAGUGGUAGCUAGAGACCUUACUGAAACAAACAACGGUAAGGCGGCUACCCAGAAAACAAAGGCUGAGCUAGGAGCUGCCAAAUUUGGAGGGGGCCAAACUGAUCAAGAUUAUCCACCAAGAUAUUGCUUACCACCCCCCUAUAGCUGCUAGUUUAUAACGGAAAAGGAAGCGAAGGUGCUGGCGCGCGAGGCGGUGGAUUCUGAAACUCACGCAAUCCUCACUUUUACUUACCCUUUGCAUAUUGCCUGUAUCUAAAUAAAUUAAUUGAUCUAUAUAUAGCAUAUCCUACAAUUUGCAGUAUCCUAAACUAAAAGGCUUCUUUCCUCGGACAUAUAUUAUAUCAAGAAAUUUAAAUUAAUAAAUUUUUGCUUUCUGAUGA